GAUGAACGCUGGCGGCGUGCCUAAUACAUGCAAGUCGAGCGAACGGACGAGAAGCUUGCUUCUCUGAUGUUAGCGGCGGACGGGUGAGUAACACGUGGAUAACCUACCUAUAAGACUGGGAUAACUUCGGGAAACCGGAGCUAAUACCGGAUAAUAUUUUGAACCGCAUGGUUCAAAAGUGAAAGACGGUCUUGCUGUCACUUAUAGAUGGAUCCGCGCUGCAUUAGCUAGUUGGUAAGGUAACGGCUUACCAAGGCAACGAUGCAUAGCCGACCUGAGAGGGUGGUCGACCACACUGGAACUGAGACACGGUCAAGACUCCGACGGGAGGCAGCAGUAGGGAAUCUUCCGCAAUGGGCGAAGGCCUGACGGAGCAACGCCGCGUGAGUGAUGAAGGUCUUCGGAUCGUAAAACUCUGUUAUUGGGGAAAAAAAUAUGUGAAAGUACCUGUGCACAUCUGGACGGUCCCUAAUAAGAAAGCCCCGGCUAACUCCGUC
RNAcentral lists this ribosomal RNA (497 nucleotides) under uncultured bacterium. Its description in RNAcentral is "partial 16S ribosomal RNA". It matches the Rfam family "Bacterial small subunit ribosomal RNA", at positions 28 to 507 of the family's 1533-position model. The record is from RNAcentral.